CCGGGUUCUCAGGGCGGGGCGAAACUCCCCACCGGCGGUAUCCGGCGUUGCCGGGAGCCCGCGAGCGCUUCCACUUCGGUGGAAGGCAGCAGAUCCGGUGCGAUGCCGGAGCCGACGGUAUAGUCCGGAUGGAAGAGGACAAGG
This 144-nucleotide non-coding RNA is filed under the name Rhizobium sp. RNAcentral describes it as "FMN sequence". It matches the Rfam family "FMN riboswitch aptamer (RFN element)". Rfam says of the family: The RFN element is a highly conserved domain that is found frequently in the 5'-untranslated regions of prokaryotic mRNAs that encode for flavin mononucleotide (FMN) biosynthesis and transport proteins. Lineage: Bacteria; Pseudomonadati; Pseudomonadota; Alphaproteobacteria; Hyphomicrobiales; Rhizobiaceae. The record is from RNAcentral. RNAcentral also lists the same sequence under 1 other name.